Molecule: ribosomal RNA, 636 nt
Filed under: Pseudomonas fluorescens
Lineage: Bacteria; Pseudomonadati; Pseudomonadota; Gammaproteobacteria; Pseudomonadales; Pseudomonadaceae
Description: bacterial SSU rRNA
Rfam family: Bacterial small subunit ribosomal RNA
Source: RNAcentral
UGCAAGUCGAGCGGAUGAAGUGAGCUUGCUCCGGAUUCAGAGGAGGAGGGGUGAGUAAUGCCUAGGAAUCUGCCUGGGUCGGGGGACAACGUUUCGAAAGGAACGCUAAUACCGCAUACGUCCCACGGGAGAAAGCAGGGGACCUUCGGGCCUUGCGCUAUCAAAUGAGCCUAGGUCGGAUUAUCUAUUUGGUGAGGUAAUGGCUCACCAAGGCUACGAUCCGUAACUGGUCUGAGAGGAUGAUCAGCCCCACUGGAACUGAGACACGGUCCACACUCCUACGGGAGGCAGCAGUGGGGAAUAUUGGACAAUGGGCGAAAACCUGAUCCAUCCAUGCCGCGUGUGUGAAGAAGGUCUUCGGAUUGUAAAGCACUUUAAUUUGGGAGGAAGGGUUGUAGAUUAAUACUCUGCAAUUUUGACGUUACCGACAAAAUAAGCACCCGCUAACUCUGUGCCAGCCGCCGCGGUAAUACAGAGGGUGCAAGCGUUAAUCGGAAUUACUGGGCGUAAAGCGCGCGUAGGUGGUUCGUUAAGUUGGAUGUGAAAUCCCCGGGCUCAACCUGGGAACUGCAUCCAAAACUGGCGACCUAGAGUAUGGUAUAGAGUGGUGGAAUUUCCUGUGUAGCGGUGAAAUGC